UAAAAAUUUCAAAAGGUUGGACCCGUGUCAACUGGUAUUGCAAAAAGUUGGUAUUCCUUCUGGACUUUCCUGUCUAAAAAUCCUAUUGAAAUUUAAGUAUGCAGUACUGAAUUGCUUAUAUAUGAAUCAAUCAAAUAAAUUUUCAAUCAUUUCAUCAAUUGUACUUUUGUUGAUCAAUGAAACAUGCUUGUUAACCUGCACCUGCCUAGCCAGUUGGAUUUUCUAGACUAUGAAUGAGAAAGUCCAAGGGCCAGUUUUUGCUAGCUUCAAACUCUCUUUUAAUUCAACCCAGCUGGCCAGCGCCACCUGUUUCAAUUGGCUGAACAACCCAUGAUCUAGUUGGCCAGUCAUGGUUGGUUCCAUGUGUGAUUGCUCCGAUCAAUUUACCUCUGAAAAAUACAUGUUUAUAUUUGUUUGAGACAAGAACCUAACCCUUUACAUUCUACCUACCACAUAAGCUAGGAACUGAUACGAACUUAGAAGAACCACAUCCCAAAAGCUAAUUAUUGAGGUUGGAGAGCCCAGGUUCAUAUAUACCCUACAUUGAAAUCUCAUAUUUUCAAUGUGAGACACAAGUUUUCUUGCAAUGGGAUCGUAACAUUCCACCACACUCCGCAGCCCUGGCGCCUACACAGGCUGGCUUUGUGCUAGUUUAAUCUAGCCCUAGGCGAACACUUAUUC
This 681-nucleotide unclassified non-coding RNA is filed under the name Hevea brasiliensis (rubber tree). The record is from RNAcentral. Lineage: Eukaryota; Viridiplantae; Streptophyta; Magnoliopsida; Malpighiales; Euphorbiaceae.